GAUGAACGCUAGCUACAGGCUUAACACAUGCAAGUCGCGGGGCAGCAUGGGGGUUGCUUGCAAUCCCCGAUGGCGACCGGCGCACGGGUGAGUAACACGUAUUCAACCUGCCCUUCACCACGGGAUAACCCGGCGAAAGUCGGACUAAUACCGUAUGUUGUCCAUUGACGGCAUCCGAUUUGGACGAAAGGCUUGGCGGUGAGGGAUGGGGAUGCGUCCGAUUAGCCAGACGGCGGGGUAACGGCCCACCGUGGCUACGAUCGGUAGGGGUUCUGAGAGGAAGGUCCCCCACACUGGAACUGAGACACGGUCCAGACUCCUACGGGAGGCAGCAGUGAGGAAUAUUGAUCAAUGGGCGUAAGCCUGAACCAGCCAAGUAGCGUGCAGGAUGACGGCCCUAUGGGUUGUAAACUGCUUUUAUGCGGGGAUAAAGUGGCCCACGUGUGGGCUUUUGCAGGUACCGCAUGAAUAAGGACCGGCUAAUUCCGUG
RNAcentral lists this ribosomal RNA (490 nucleotides) under uncultured bacterium. RNAcentral describes it as "partial 16S ribosomal RNA". It matches the Rfam family "Bacterial small subunit ribosomal RNA", at positions 28 to 507 of the family's 1533-position model. The record is from RNAcentral.